CUUUAUUAGAAAUAUUAUGGCCCCAGAAUAAUUACUGCAUCACAAUAUAAUUUAUAAUCUGACAGAACAAUGCUAAAAACGGCAGCUUCUAUUUUUUCAUUUGAAGUUUUGUAUGCUAUUAUUCUUUAUUUUGCACCUGUUAUCAAAAGUUUAGUAUCACCAUGCAAACUUCGGCUAGUACAAACAUUUGAUGACUUUGAAUAUUUUCAGGAUGGAGACAUAAUUCUUGGUGGAAUUAUAAGUGUGAAUUCAUUUGCAG
This is a non-coding RNA of Pelobates cultripes (western spadefoot toad), 259 nucleotides long. Lineage: Eukaryota; Metazoa; Chordata; Amphibia; Anura; Pelobatidae. The record is from the annotation of a GenBank genome assembly.